AAAAGAGGAGGAUUGGCAGCAGAUGUUAGCUCAGGGCUGAUCUUCCUCAAAAAAAAAAAACAAAGGUAAUUACUUUGUUUUUAGAGUAUAAACUUAACAUAUAUUUAUUGUAGCCCAGUCUCAUAUUAUCAGUUUACUACAUUCCCUUGGUUUUAUCCAGUAGAAACGCUGACCAAUUGGUACACAUUGCUAGCACAAUUCGUGUUACAAUGAAAGAAGAUGUCCAUUGUACAAUGCCCAUGUACCAGGCUGGAUUGGUGAGUCAUUAAGCAGACAGUCGGGCCUUAGAACCAAGGGACCAAGAUGUGCUCAGCUGUCUUUCUGGGGCUUGGGCUUGAGCAUUUAUAAUAUGAUGAAGGCACAGCAUUAGGGCUUGAGUAUAAGACCAAGUCAGCAUUUAAAGCAGCUAAACAACAGCUCCCAUUCUUCAGAGCUUGCUACCAGCUAGGCCCCAGGCAUCAGUGAUACAUAAGCUUUACCUCAAACCUUCACAACUUUGUUAUCCCUAUUUUAAAGAUGGAGGUGCAGAGGGGUUGAGGAAUUUGCAAAAAUCACAGUCAGUAGGUCGUGAAGCCAAAAUUUAAGGCAGAAGCCAGAGCUCUUAACCAUGACACUCUCUGCCUUCUGUUUCCAUCAAUAAAUCCUAGAGCUCUGGGUCCUAAAACCCCCUGCCCAGUUUCCCCUGUGUGUGUGAGAAGUGGAGGUGGAGCCGAGUCUGUAGGUCAAAGGUAUUGGCGUGACAUCAGAAGGCUAUGCCAGGUUUGGGCUGGACAUCACCCAGCCCUUUCCCCGACCAGAUGAACCAGCCCGGGAGGCUCUAAACUUGCUGCCUCUUGGGGCAGGUGGGUCAGCUUUGCCCUGCCAGCAAUGCUAGUGAGUGCACAACAAUGCCUUCCCAUGGGACCAAGCCUAGUGUGGCAAAUGAAAACAUUUUUUUCUGAACUGAGAGCGUUUUGUACUGACUUUGUCAGUUACAAAAUCUUUAUCUGUAAUGUGGCAGGGUAGAGGGGAAGCUGUCUGGGCUUUGAAUAAAAUCACCUGGC
This 1043-nucleotide long non-coding RNA is filed under the name Equus asinus (donkey). RNAcentral's name for it is "lncRNA (ENSEASG00005033981.1)". The record is from RNAcentral. Lineage: Eukaryota; Metazoa; Chordata; Mammalia; Perissodactyla; Equidae.